RNAcentral lists this ribosomal RNA (253 nucleotides) under uncultured bacterium. Its description in RNAcentral is "partial 16S ribosomal RNA". It matches the Rfam family "Bacterial small subunit ribosomal RNA", at positions 524 to 776 of the family's 1533-position model. The record is from RNAcentral.
GACGUAGGGCGCGAGCGUUGUUCGGAUUCACUGGGCGUAAAGGGUGCGUAGGCGGUCGGGUAAGUCUGAUGUGAAAUCUCACAGCUUAACUGUGAAACUGCAUUGGAUACUAUCCGGCUAGAGGAAUGGAGGGGAGACUGGAAUACUUGGUGUAGCAGUGAAAUGCGUAGAUAUCAAGUGGAACACCAGUGGCGAAGGCGAGUCUCUGGACAUUUCCUGACGCUGAGGCACGAAAGCCAGGGGAGCAAACGGG